Molecule: small RNA, 563 nt
Filed under: uncultured fungus
Lineage: Eukaryota; Fungi
Description: eukaryotic LSU rRNA
Rfam family: 5.8S ribosomal RNA (bases 183-336)
Source: RNAcentral
GAUCAUUACCGAGUGAGGGCCCUCUGGGUCCAACCUCCCACCCAUGUUUAUUGUACCUUGUUGCUUCGGCGGGCCCGCCUCACGGCCGCCGGGGGGCUUCUGCCCUCUGGCCCGCGCCCGCCGAAGACACCAUUGAACACUGUCUGAAGAUUGCAGUCUGAGCAAUUAGCUAAAUAAGUUAAAACUUUCAACAACGGAUCUCUUGGUUCCGGCAUCGAUGAAGAACGCAGCGAAAUGCGAUACGUAAUGUGAAUUGCAGAAUUCAGUGAAUCAUCGAGUCUUUGGACGCACAUUGCGCCCCUUGGUAUUCCGGGGGGCAUGCCUGUCCGAGCGUCAUUGCUGCCCUCAAGCACGGCUUGUGUGUUGGGCCCCGUCCUCCUUCCCGGGGGACGGGCCCGAAAGGCAGCGGCGGCACCGCGUCCGGUCCUCGAGCGUAUGGGGCUUUGUCACCCGCUCUUGUAGGCCCGGCCGGCGCUUGCCGACAACCAUCAAUCUUUUUUCAGGUUGACCUCGGAUCAGGUAGGGAUACCCGCUGAACUUAAGCAUAUCAAUAAGCGGAGGAA